GGGGUUGUGGCUCGGUGGUAGAGCACUUGCCUCGGAUGCAUGAGGCCAUGGGUUCGGUACCCAGCACCA
This 69-nucleotide transfer RNA is filed under the name Ictidomys tridecemlineatus (thirteen-lined ground squirrel). RNAcentral's name for it is "Spermophilus tridecemlineatus (thirteen-lined ground squirrel) tRNA". It matches the Rfam family "tRNA". Rfam says of the family: Transfer RNA (tRNA) molecules are approximately 80 nucleotides in length. Their secondary structure includes four short double-helical elements and three loops (D, anti-codon, and T loops). Further hydrogen bonds mediate the characteristic L-shaped molecular structure. tRNAs have two regions of fundamental functional importance: the anti-codon, which is responsible for specific mRNA codon recognition, and the 3' end, to which the tRNAs corresponding amino acid is attached (by aminoacyl-tRNA synthetases). tRNAs cope with the degeneracy of the genetic code in two manners: having more than one tRNA (with a specific anti-codon) for a particular amino acid; and 'wobble' base-pairing, i.e. permitting non-standard base-pairing at the 3rd anti-codon position. The record is from Rfam by way of RNAcentral. Lineage: Eukaryota; Metazoa; Chordata; Mammalia; Rodentia; Sciuridae.